AAAGAGGGGGGGAAACGAGAAAAAAGACAAAAAAGAAAAGGGUAAAUGCACCCUCUUUUCGCGUCAUCUCUCCUCCUCCCUCUCUUUUUGCCUACCCUCUCUCUCUCUCUCUCUUUUUC
This 119-nucleotide non-coding RNA is filed under the name Palpitomonas bilix. The record is from RNAcentral.